Molecule: unclassified non-coding RNA, 213 nt
Filed under: Hevea brasiliensis (rubber tree)
Lineage: Eukaryota; Viridiplantae; Streptophyta; Magnoliopsida; Malpighiales; Euphorbiaceae
Source: RNAcentral
UGUGAUGAUGCUCUAGGUGGGCUCCUGCUCCUGCUCCUGCUUCUUGGAGGAGGGGAUCUCAAAGGGCCCCUGCUUGUGCUUCUUGGAGAACGGGAUCUCACAGGACUCUUGCUAAUGCUUCUAGCCCUUCUUCCCCUCACGGGACUUCUGCUGACACUUCUAGCUGGACUCCUGCUGCUACCACUUCUAGCAGGACUUCUGCUGAAACUCCUC